CCUACGGGAGGCAGCAGUGGGGAAUAUUGCGCAAUGGGCGAAAGCCUGACGCAGCGACGCCGCGUGAGGGAUGAAGGUCUUCGGAUCGUAAACCUCUGUCAGCAGGGAAGAACGGUCACUGUGCUAAUCAGCAGUGAAUUGACGGUACCUGCAAAGGAAGCACCGGCUAACUCCGUGCCAGCAGCCGCGGUAAUACGGCGGGUGCGAGCGUUAAUCGGAAUUACUGGGCGUAAAGCGCUCGUAGGCGGUAUGUCAAGUCAAGGGGGAAAUCCCCGCGCUCAACGUGGGAACUGCCUUUGAAACGGGCAAACUGGAGUGUGUGAGAGGAUAGUGGAAUUCCAGGUGGAGGAGUGAAAUCCGUAGAUAUCUGGAGGAACAUCAGUGGCGAAGGCGACUAUCUGGCACAUAACUGACGCUGAGGAGCGAAAGCGUGGGUAGCAAACAGGAUUAGAUACCCUUGUAGUC
This 465-nucleotide ribosomal RNA is filed under the name uncultured bacterium. RNAcentral describes it as "partial 16S ribosomal RNA". It matches the Rfam family "Bacterial small subunit ribosomal RNA", at positions 338 to 795 of the family's 1533-position model. The record is from RNAcentral.